AGUGAACGCUGGCGGUAUGCCUAACACAUGCAAGUCGAACGGCAGCACAGUAAGAGCUUGCUCUUACGGGGUGCGAGUGGCGGACGAGUGAGGAAUACAUCGUAAUCUACUUUUUCGUGGGGGAUAACGUAGGGAAACUUACGCUAAUACCGCAUACGACCUACGGGUGAAAGCAGGGGAUCUUCGGACCUUGCGCGAUUGAAUGAGCCGAUGUCGGAUUAGCUAGUUGGCGGGGUAAAGGCCCACCAAGGCGACGAUCCGUAGCUGACCUGAGAGGAUGAUCAGCCACACUGGAACUGAGACACGGUCCAGACUCCUACGGGAGGCAGCAGUGGGGAAUAUUCGACAAUGGGCGCAAGCCUGAUCCAGCCAUACCGCGUGAGUGAAGAAGGCCUUCGGGUCGUAAAGCCCUUUUGUUGGGAAAGAAAAGCAGCAGGUUAAUAACCCGCUGUUCUGACGGUAACCAAAGAAUAAGCACCGGCUAACUUAGUG
This 492-nucleotide ribosomal RNA is filed under the name uncultured bacterium. Its description in RNAcentral is "partial 16S ribosomal RNA". It matches the Rfam family "Bacterial small subunit ribosomal RNA", at positions 29 to 507 of the family's 1533-position model. The record is from RNAcentral.